Molecule: long non-coding RNA, 1771 nt
Organism: Mercurialis annua (annual mercury)
Lineage: Eukaryota; Viridiplantae; Streptophyta; Magnoliopsida; Malpighiales; Euphorbiaceae
Exons: 7
Source: RefSeq, a predicted model, not a curated record
UCAUAGCAUUCCAAAUCAUAGCUAACUUUCUGUUAUAUUCUGAUCUGCUCUGCACUAUUCGCCGUCAACUCUUCUCAUUUCUAAUCUCUCUCGCACUCGCCGGAGAUUUCUCUCGUCAUUUCCUGCCUCCACAAUGUCCGCCGCUAAUAACGCCACAGCCAAGGCUUCUCAUACUAAAGAUGAAGCUUAUCUCAACGCGGAUUAGCUUGUCGAAUGGGACCGUGAAGGAAGGAGGGAGACGGUUAUCAUCUUCGAUGGACAUAGCUAAAGGCAUUUCAAAGAGUUUGGCUACGAAUGCUUUGAUUGCUCAACUUAACGGUUGGCUUUGGGAUAUGAAUAGGCCAAAUGAAUCUUAAUGAUCUCGACAAGGUUUGGAAAUUACAACUUUAAAGGGUAAGAUUGGAGAAGAUGAUGCUAAGAUAUUCUUUGAAAAAAUUGCAAAACAAGUUCAGCAGAUUAUGUGCAAACAUCAGUGUCAAGUCGAAAUUCUCUCUGAUCUUGGCAAGGAUUAUCAAUGAUAUUUAGAAGGAGAGGCAGCGAUGAUCUUGAAUAAAGUCAUGCUAAGUGGGUAGAAACACUGCAGUUGGCACCAGAUGUGUUUAACAUGACAUUUACACCUAUUGUUUCUUUACUUGAAGGAGUAACCGGCUUAAAGAAUCUGUCCCGGGCAAUGGACUUGUACCUGGAGUACAAACCACCAAUUGAGGAUUUGAAGGUUGAAUAUUCAAAUUUCUUAAGCUUGGGCUCCUGGACAAAAUUAUCUCCAAAGAAAGGAGCCUGUUUGUCAAUCCUUUCAGCUCAGCUGGAUGAGUCCCAAGCUUUAUAUCAGCCCAGAUCAGAUAAGAUUAACCAUAUGCAAAAUAUUUUUUUAAUAUGCAAAAGGAUAACGAGAAGUUUGUCUCCACUUUGAUUUGUUUUCAUUAUCUCAUGAUAGAACUAAAACUGUGUAAAUCACAUUAGCUUAAGCACUUUGCAAACAAAUCAAAGUGGCAGACAAAAACUAUUAGAAAUAUUGGUAAAAAUUGUGUAAAUCACAUUAGAUUAAGCAUUUUGCUCAAGCAUCUCUCUAAAGUAUAAACUGAAUCGAACUGAAAAAAUCACUUUGCAAAUCUAAGGUGAGGAUUACUAUUUCAACUUCAGAUUAAAAGUUUGUCUGCUACUUUGACUAGCUUUCAGUUGUACUGAACUCAUUUUCAUUGGUUGAUGCAGGUUGAAAUUCCCUCUUAUUUUGUUGCCUUGAUCUUGGAGAACUGUGAUCUUCCGUAUGCAAAUCAUGGACAUGUUAUUCUAGCUGACCCUUCUCUGAUCUUGUUUUAUCGUAUUAGCAGUUCGGAAAUUCACUGUUUGGUUGACAUACCAGCUGGCUAUAAGCAGCCUUCUGUUUACAAUGGCCAAAUUGACAAGUAUGCGGAUAUAUACACCUCUAAGGUCUUGAAUUUCCUAAACUAUACACGAUUCAUGUACUUCAACUCGCAAGAAGAGACGUUGGCUCAAUCUUGAGUGACAGCUUCUCUAGUUAAGUACUCGUUCUUUGCACAUUUAUCUUAUUAUGUAUCAUGUUUGCAUAUUCUGAGUAUUAUUGUUUGUGGUUUUGCAGGAUUUCAUGAAGAUAUUUGUGGAAAAUGGUGACGUAGGAGAAAAGGCGCACAAUGUUUAGUAGUAUAAUCGUUAUUUUUGAUGAAUAUUUUGGCGAACAUUUUCUGUUUGUGAUGUAAUGGAUGGAUGAAAUAUUUUCCGACUUUGAAUUUUAUGAAUAUUUUCCGUUUUCUAA